GAUGAACGCUGGCGGCGUGCCUAAUACAUGCAAGUCGAGCGAACGGACGAGAAGCUUGCUUCUCUGAUGUUAGCGGCGGACGGGUGAGUAACACGUGGAUAACCUACCUAUAAGACUGGGAUAACUUCGGGAAACCGUAGCUAAUACCGGAUAAUAUUUUGAACCGCAUGGUUCAAAAGUGAAAGACGGUCUUGCUGUCACUUAUAGAUGGAUCCGCGCUGCAUUAGCUAGUUGUUAAGGUAACGGCUUACCAAGGCAACGAUGCAUAGCCGACCUGAGAGGGUGAUAGGCCGCACGGGAGCUGAGACACGGUCCAGACGCCUACGGGAGGCAGCAGUAGGGUAUCGUACGCAAUGGUCGAAAGCCUGACGGAGCGACGGCGCGUGAGUUACGAAGGUCUUCGGAUCGUAAAACUCUGUUAUUAGGGAAGAACAUAUGUGUAAGUAGCUGUGCACAUCUUGACGGUAACUAAUCAGAAAGCAACGGCUAACUACGUG
Molecule: ribosomal RNA, 497 nt
Filed under: uncultured bacterium
Lineage: Bacteria
Description: partial 16S ribosomal RNA
Rfam family: Bacterial small subunit ribosomal RNA
Source: RNAcentral